AGAGUUUGAUCCUGGCUCAGGAUGAACGCUAGCUACAGGCUUAACACAUGCAAGUCGAGGGGCAUCAGGAAGAAAGCUUGCUUUCUUUGCUGGCGACCGGCGCACGGGUGAGUAACACGUAUCCAACCUGCCCUUUACUCGGGGAUAGCCUUUCGAAAGAAAGAUUAAUACCCGAUAGCAUAAUGAUUCCGCAUGGUUUCAUUAUUAAAGGAUUCCGGUAAAGGAUGGGGAUGCGUUCCAUUAGGUUGUUGGUGAGGUAACGGCUCACCAAGCCUUCGAUGGAUAGGGGUUCUGAGAGGAAGGUCCCCCACAUUGGAACUGAGACACGGUCCAAACUCCUACGGGAGGCAGCAGUGAGGAAUAUUGGUCAAUGGGCGUUAGCCUGAACCAGCCAAGUAGCGUGAAGGAUGAAGGCUCUAUGGGUCGUGAACUUCUUUUAUAUAAGAAUAAAGUGCAGUAUGUAUACUGUUUUGUAUGUAUUAUAUGAAUAAG
This 492-nucleotide ribosomal RNA is filed under the name Bacteroides fragilis. RNAcentral describes it as "bacterial SSU rRNA". It matches the Rfam family "Bacterial small subunit ribosomal RNA", at positions 8 to 490 of the family's 1533-position model. Lineage: Bacteria; Pseudomonadati; Bacteroidota; Bacteroidia; Bacteroidales; Bacteroidaceae. The record is from RNAcentral.